RNAcentral lists this long non-coding RNA (36232 nucleotides) under Capsella rubella. Its description in RNAcentral is "long non-coding RNA (CRUB_LNC004454)". The record is from RNAcentral. Lineage: Eukaryota; Viridiplantae; Streptophyta; Magnoliopsida; Brassicales; Brassicaceae.
CUAUAUAUACUAUAAUGAGUGUGUUAGUCGAAUCUGGUUUAUAUAAUCCAAGAUUUGAUAGAUCAUGCAUGUCGAUACUGGUGUCUGGAACUUGUUCCAAGGAUUUGUUUAUUAUGUUAUCGUUUAGGUAUUCUUUGGUCUUGGUUUAAAGAGAAUCCUUCUAGAAUUCAUAAUAUUUUUAUAUAAGAAUUCACACACACAUAUAUAAAAGCAUUUUCUUAAGCAAAGGAAUAUUCCCUCCAUUUACAUAUUUGUUUUAAGUUAUUCAUCAAUCCAUUGUGUCAUUGUGUUAUAUACGUAACUGCGUACGCAUAUAUAAACUUAUUUGUUUACUCAGUUAUUUUAACGGCGAAUAGUUCGGUUUUCUUUCGGACCAAGAAUGUUUGAAUCCACAUCCACGGCUGCAGUGACUUCGAUUGAAAUUCGAAUUCAUACCUAAUAGAAAUUGAAACAGUAACUUCUCUGAUUGAAUAAGCUAGUUUCUUCAGCACUAACGACGUGCCAUGUUACUAUAGCUCGAUUGAUACUAUUGUACUCUAUAAAUAUAGUUCUUAAGAGAUAAAGUAAUAGAGCAUGUACGUACGUUUCGGUUAAACUCACAAAUGAAGAUGUUUGAAUGUGCAUGUGCGAUUUUUGCCUUAGUACCGAAGGAAAAGUCCAGGACCGUACAAAGGUAGACAAGAAAUCUCGACCCCUAAGUUGCAACAUCAGUUUUUGAUGUGAUUUGUAUAAAGAAAAUGUUUACGUAUAACUUAUGCAUGUGUGUGUUUCUUUACAAUGAAUGGCCAAUAUAAAAUGCAAACUGUUACACAUAUAUUCAACUGAUCUCGUAAUGUCGUUGUGAGGCAUAUAUAGUGCAACGUGUCCAUAAAUAUUUUGAAAAUAUCUCCUGAUUUUCUUUUUAGGAAUUUAAAGAUUUUGCAACUAAUAAUAAAUUAGGAUAAAAUAAAUAGUUGUCAACAUAUAUAAUUAUUUUAUUUAGUUAAACUUGACUUUUUAUAAUUAUUUGAUUUACAAUUAAAAAAAAAAUCUAGAAUAUGCCCACUGUAUUAGAGAAAGGAAAAACAGGUUUACAAAAUAUGAAAUUGACCCCAAUUGUUUGCUUUUAUUCUCGUUCGACCCUACAUGGCCAACCAUCAAAAGAGUCAUUAUCUUCCUUCAUCGAUUAAUAUAACGAGAAAAGGCUUUCUUUUCAAACCUCUUGAUGUUAAUAGAAUAGUCUAGUCUUAGCUAAACAAAUUAUCUUAACUUAGUGGCAUAGCUGAUAUAUCUCUGUCUCUAUAUAUAUCCAUCGAUAUAUCGAGACAAUUGAUUGAAAAAAUCAAUUACAUAAUUAAGGACUAUAUAUCUCACAUGUAUUAAGAUUUAAGAAUUAAGAAUGAGGAAAAUAGAAAGAAAAAACAAAAAACGAAAACCUUAGAGUCUCAUAUUUGAAAGAGAUGCAAAACGAAUAUUAGGCAACUACUAAGUGAUCUUAAUUAGCGAAGGGAUUACGAACAAACCACCUCUAUUUAUACAUUUAUUUACACAUUUAUGUCAAUGUUUUAAAAAUCAAAACUAUGUAAGAAGAAUAUGAGUUUUUGUUCCUGUUAUUAUCAAGUUUGAUUAAUUUAAUCUAACUUUCACUAGGUACCUAAUCCAACAAGUAAAAAACAUAAUGCUCAUAUUUAACUGAAAAUGGAAUAUUUUUUCUAGGGUACCUUCAUACCAAUUGUUGAGUAUUUCCAUUACUUAAUUUCUAUAUAGAUUUAUAUAACAUUGAUAAAGUAUCCAUUCAUGCAAAUUGACUAGUCACCAGAACCCACCUAUAAAAUAAUUUGGCAAAAACUUCUUUUGGCUUUUCGUUUUCCAGUUCAAUCGAUCGAGAAGGAUUCCACAAUUCAUUUUAAAAGCAAAAUUUUCUGUUAAUAAUUUCAAACCCACCGGUCCUGCUUACUACAUAAUUCACUUGAGUUUUUAUUUUAUAUUUGCCCUUUGUAUGACCAAAAAGUUAUGAGUUCUGCGUGGCCAUAAUCUAUAUCAAUAUCAUAUAAUAUAAAGAGAUAUACUCUUAGGAGUAUACUCAAAUUUCUAUGGCUAUAUACUCGAAUUCAGUGAAAAAUAAAGAUUUGUUUAUGUAAUUAAAUGUCAUAUAAAAUGUGACUAUACAAAGAUAUACACAUUUAAAUAAAUAAUUUGUUGGUAGUCCCUGAAAUCAUUCACCGGUUAUGUUGUUUCGUAAAUAAAUUAUUAUGGAAUGCUAGCAACCAAAAAACCAUUAAACUUGCCUAGCUUCAAGGUAGUAUGUACAUAGAAUAAAAAAAGUGGUUCUUCAAUAUAAAAAACAACUCCACAAUGCUCGCAAAGAAAAAGGGAAAAAGCAAAGGGAAAUAGAUCAAUGCUAAGGAAGAAACAUAAGGGCAUGUGCGUUGAGGUGUUAGGCAGAUUCAGAAUCUUUCAGACCUUUCUUUUUUCUUACCUCUAUGAUCUCUCACAAGCUUGAUUCUAUAUUGUAACUGCAGCCCUAAUAAUAAUUAUAACAUUUUGAUUCCGCUUUUUGAUAUAAAAACCAGUUUUUGCCAAAACGUAAUGUCUUUUGCCUUUGCUUUUAUAAUACUUUUUUCCCCCAAUUUGUGUAUAUGUUUCACUAAGCAACUUGUAUCCCUUUUGCGUUGGGUAAAAAGAGACUUCAUACCACUGACCACACACCACUUACCAAACUUUGCAGUACUAAAAUCUCUCAACUUUGUUCAGUUUUUAUUACUUUUUCUUUAUGAUGAGUUUCAACACAAUUUAACAUUAAACCAAAAAAAAAAAAAAAAGAGAUAUAACACGAAAGAAAAUGUUCAUUAAUUAAACUAUAUGAUCGAUGUUUAUAACGUGCAUAGAAGUUAAAACUUUUUAAUCUGAUCCCCCUUUUUGUAACUUAGUAAGCAAUCCUGAAAGUUAUUUUAUUAAAUAAGAUCUAUAUCUAAUUAGAUAUGAUGAAGUAGUUUUUCUGACCUAAUAAACAUUAAAAUAAAGUUAAUUAGAUGGUUAAUCUGGUUUUUUCUAAUUAUUUUAAAUUACAUUUUAUUUUUAUGAAUGUGAUGUUAUAUUCCUUUGGUAAAGAGCAAUAACAGUCACUUUUUUUUUUGUUCAAUGGGAAUUAUUGAGGUGACUAUUAUUGUUUUUUUGGUAAGUGGUAACCAUAUGGUUUAUAGACAUUUAUAGUGGGAUCUUUUGCAUACCCCAAUCCAUGUCGCAGUUCUAUUCUUUUCUUUAACUGAUUUCGGGUUUAUGAUCAAUUUGAGAUAGUUUUGUUUUAUAUUAAGAAAACCUUGUUGAUUUGGCAUUAAUGAUCUAUUUAACUAUCUUCAAUAUCAUAAGAAAAAUAAUGUAAAAUAAAUUAUGAUUCUAUAUGAAAAUCGAAAAAUAAAACAUAUAUAUAUAUACUGUAUUAUUUAUUUAACGAUCAGUUACAAUGUAAAAAAAAAGGUAAAAAUAAAUGAAGGACAAGCCAAUAGUGUGUCAAGAAGACAAUUAGUACAAAUUACUUUUGUUACAUAUUCCAAUGAAUGCAAGGGACAAAUUGAUUAAUAUGUUACCUAAUUAUCGUCAGACCUCACUUAUUUUGUUUGCUUGAUGAACCAACAUUGUUUAUUUAUAUAUUAUAGUAUAUUAUUACAAUUUCAUUUUAUAAAUAUUGAAAAACAAACAACAAAAGAAACACAAAGGGACACGUGUCGAUCGAGAAACCCAUCUAUGAAGUUUCAACUUAACUUACUAUGGGUCCACAUGCGCACACAGAGCACUGCACGUGACAUGUCCGUACGUCUGACGGUCCAUCUAACAUAAUUACCUUUUUAAUUAGUUAAAUUUAAAAGCUAUAUGUUUACUUGAUAAAGCGAUGAUACUUCUCUUUCACAUUACAUUUUAAAAUACCAUAAUAAUAAUAAUAUAAAAUUUCUUUUAUAUUUUUAUAUUUGUUUUUAUAUUCUUUGAAAUUUAAAUAAUUUUUCAAAAUUUUAAUAGAUUUGAAGCUAAUUUAAAACAAAAAAAUGCACCAAAAUUUACAAUAAAAAUCUUAAACAACACUUAAUAUUUUAAAAAUAAAAAUUAAUCUUAAAAUGAAACUUUUGGUAAAACAGUGAAUGUAUCUAUUUGUAUUUUAUAAUACUUAAAUUAAAGAAUGUACUUUUGAAAAACGUAGGAUAUUAAAAAAAAAAAAACGUAGGAUAUUUGUGCUUUUUGGUAAGAACAAUACUACAUUACAAAUCAGAUGUCUAAAUUAAAUAUACCAGUCCUGAAAAAAAUGUAUAAUGUUUAAUAUUUUAUAAAACAGAGGGAAUACACAAAGAUGUAAUUUUAUUGAUAAAAACACUGAUGUUUUAUACCAAAAUAGAUAUAAAUUUUUAAUAUAAAAAUAUUGUACUAACAUAAUAACUGGUUAAAUUCAUACCUAAUAGAUUUAUAUAUUUUUAAAACAUAGCAUGAUUAUAUUUGUAGAAUUAUUAUUUACUUGCAAAGUAAAUAAUUUAUCUUAUUUGAUUAAUGUUUGAAUUAUUUUGAGGGUGAACAUAAUUUUUGGCAAAGAAUUAUAUAGUGUAGUUUGAUCAAAACAUCAGAAAAAAAAAAUCCAAGCAAUGAUAUAGUGUAGUUUGAUUGUAAUUCCAAUGUAAUUUAUACCACAGUUCCUAGGUUACAUAACAAGUUCACUUUAAUUAUAGUAUAUCUUGUUCAAGUUCUCUUAAACGUAGAGAACUAUUUUUGUAUAUAUUUGUACAAGUAACAAAGUCACAACCCAUGUUGUUUAUAGGUACUUAAUUCAAAUAUUAAUUAAAUAAUUGAUUGAAUUAAUUGAGAUGAGAACAUGAGAGGAUACCGAGAGUACCCAUAGAUGAAUGAGGAAAUAACACCUCUACCCUCCUCAUUCCUCAAUCAUCAUUUGUCUUUAUACUCCAGGUGUCUGUUGCUGAACGGUUAAUUCUGGUACUUUGGGCGGUGAUUCUCAUGUUUAUUACUCUUUAAACAAUGCCAGAAGACAGAACCAGCUUAAUUAUUUCAGUUAUUAUUCUUUUCUUUUUAACCUUUAAAGAUUCUCUCUAAUAGUACUUAAAAUUUUGCUUUAAUACACAAUUACAAUUAAAAAACGUCGUUUGACCAAGAAAAAGCUAAACAUGUUAACUUUAUAACAGAGAAUAAAAAAUUCAAAGGAUUUAAAAAUAAAUACAAUAUUUUCACAUAUGGAAUACUCCAGAUUAUUUCCUCUUUUUCCUAUACAAAAUGUCUAAAAAUAGUCAUUGGUUAUAUACAAAAUACAGAGUCGUAUUAACAUACAAUUAAAACCCAUACAGCAUAAAUGAAAAUUAAAAGAAAAAUAUUGGAAAACAGCUGUAACUUGACUGUUUCGGAAAAUCCCACUUCACAUGCUUCUCCUCCUUCAUCAAACACCUUCCCCAGUUUCUUUUCAAUUUUUUUCUUUUCUAAUAUUCACUUAUUACUCUCUUUAUUUUUAUUUUAUUUUAUUUUAGGUUAAUUAACUUUAUUUGUGGGGGUUAGAUGCUCUAAACACUUUAUCACACUCUCUAUAUAAUCCCCUCCUAAAUCCCUAAUUUACCUCUUCCCCCUUCGCUCUUGAAUCAAUCACUCUCUCUCUCUCUCUCGUUUUUUUUUUCUUCUUGAUUGUUCAUUUUCUUCUGCCUUUUUAACUUCUUUCUCUCUCUCUAUUUUAAGGUUUUUGAUAAUCAGUGUGUGGGUUGUUUGUGUCUUGAUAGUAAUAAUAAUAGUUGGAUGUGGAAAAACUCUGGUGGAUCUUGAUGUUCAAACAUUCAUGUCUCCGGUGAUUAGUGAAAUCCUUAGAUCUGGUUUAACUAUAGACUCGUCUCUUAGACGCAGGACCCAUCUCGUUCAAUCUUUCUCCGUCGUGUUCCUCUACUGGUUCUAUGUUUUCUCAUAAAUCAUCUCUCCUUUAGCCCCCCCUCUAAUAUAUCUAUAUAUUUUCUUUAACCAUCUUAAUAAUAACAUCUAAAACCAUAUAAUAUACUACUUUUCCGUAUUCGUUCUACAUAGUAACGUUUUGGGUCCUGCGUCUUUCCUUUUAGUGUUUUUGUGUGUGUUUUUGAGUCUUUUUUUCUUUCUAUGCAUAAUAAAACUGAAAUGGCAUCGUCGACGAGUGGAAAUAGCUCGUCGACGAUUUCGAUCACCGGUUUACAAAACUCCGGUUCCGAGUCUGAUCUCCGGCAACGGGAUCUGAUAGACGAGAGGAAGCGUAAGAGGAAGCUGUCGAACAGAGAGUCAGCUAGGAGGUCGAGGAUGAGGAAGCAGAAGCAUUUGGACGAUCUCACCGUUCAAGUCACGCAUCUACGCAAAGAGAACGCUCAGCUCGUCGCAGGGAUCGCCGUCACCACGCAACACUACGUCACGAUCGAAGCGGAGAACGAUAUUCUCAGAGCUCAGCUCCUCGAGCUCAACCACCGUCUCCAGUCCCUUAACGAGAUCGUUGACUUCGUUGAAUCAUCAUCAUCAUCAUCUUUCGGAUUCGGCAUGGAGACCGGUCCGGGACUAGUCGACGUCGGUGGUGGCGGAGGGUUUUACGACGGAGUGAUGAAUCAUAUGAGUAUAGGGUUUUAUAAUCAACCAAUCAUGGCUUCUGCUUCUACUGCUGCUGAUGUUUUCGACUGUUGCUAAAAGUAAUCAAAUUCAUAUCAUUAUCAAUAUGUCAUUUUCUUAUAUGAUGCUCUGUUUUAUUAUAUUAUAAGAUGAUUAAUUAACGCUUAUUUAGUGUUUAAACUGAUUGUAAUUAUGGACAGUGUAAGAUGAUAUGUGAUGAAAUCAUGAAGAUGCUGAUGUGAGUUUCGUAUAACUUUUUUAUUUAUUUAUUAUUAUAUAAACAUAAUUUUGUCUUUUAGCUGGGGGUUUCCUAUUUUCCUUAUUUGGGAGUAUAUGUUGCUCUUAUUAGAAAGAUGAGAUUUUUGGCUAUUAGUGAAAAAAAUGUGAAAGAUCGUGGACGGUUUUGUAAGAUGUUUGUGGGUGGUCCAUAAAUAAAUACUAUAUAGAAAUGGUGUGUUGUGAUUAUUGUGUUGGAGACCUAUAUUGUCCGAAUGUGAUAAAUAAUGAUGCGUUUUAGUACUUACAUCUAAAAUGAGUUAUUAUCAUGGGUCACUCGAGUUUUCUCCUUUUUUUUUCAAGAUUCUUACGUACGAGGCACAUGAUCUCACUAUAUGCAUAUAUCAAUUAUUUCGUCUUCCUUUUUUCCUUUAAAAUAUCUACAUGUCAAUUCUAUGAUCGCUGAUUCCGAUCAACUAACAUUGUAUAUGUAGGAUUGUUGUGUCUUAAUUUUUGCAAUAUUUUCAUUUACAAGUUAUUCAACCUCAAACCAUACGUCUCAUGUAUUUUAUAAAUGUUGCUAAUAAUUAAUGCUGUAUUUUUAUUUGUAGUAUUAUGUUUUCUUAUAUUACAAUAAUUGUUUUUUGGUCAUCAUCACUUUUUUUUCGAUACAAGCAAAAUUGGUUAUCGUGUAUGGGUUAUAAAUAUAUAACUUGAUUUUAUUAGAACUGUAUGGUUGAAGCCACUUUAAAAUUUCGUGUACUAACCUCAAACGAAUAUUUUAACCACUAGGUAUGAAUGAGUUUCGAAGUUUUAUUACAAAUAUACAAAUGAUGACAUUUGAUGAGAUAAUUUGACAAAACAAAUCACCCUCAAUGAUCGUCAGGCACCAAAACAAUAUUUUAGCUAACUUUUUACAAAUCGACCAAGCUAAUUGGUCACUGACGAAAUGAUUAAAACCAUAAACUAAACAAAAAGAAAAGAAGUAGUUUCCAAUACUUGGAGAAUCAUGUAAUGUUCAAUGAAUCCAUACACUGCGUUGAUUAGUGAUCUUGUCCUUAUGUGAUUAUUGCAAAUAGUAUAAUAUUUACUCUGUGAAAUUAAAGGAAUAAACAAAUGGGGGCAAGUAGAUGUUCGUGUCUCUGAUCUUAGCGUACGAAUAAUAACUCUAUAUUCUUGAAGGUGAUAUUAUGUGGCGUAUAUAUUUCUAUGCCUCCACCACAAUUUGUGUUGUAGUCUUUUAUAAAUUGAUCCGAAUAAUACACGUACGAAAGCUUCAUUAGAAUCGAUUCUUUAGAUAGUUGCACCAUUCCAUUCUUCAUUUAUUUACGAUUAAUAUUCGCGUUACCACUAUCUAUAUUAUAUAUAUAUAUAUAGGUUCGUAAUUUCGUAAACAACUACAAUCACAUAACCGAAAGAAAUAUAGAUAUGAGGUAAUCUUAUCUUUUAAAGGUUACAAACAUGUCCGAUCCGGGCAUAAGCACUGACGUACAGGUUACAAGAUUAAAAACUUAUUUAGUAACUAGAAAGAGUUUGGAACUCUUUAGAUCAGAAACGUUGUAUAGAACUGAUGAGAAAGGAGAGCUCAGGAAUGUAUAAAACACAUUGAUUUAAAGUGUUUUGUUUUGUUAAGACAAGCCAUACAUCAGGAACGAUGUUUGAGUCCAUAGCCAAAGCAAAAGACAAAAACUCUUUGAAAGAUUCGACCUUCGAACGCCAUGAUGAUGUUGUCAAAUCAAAUAUAGUGGCGGGUGUAUGUGUUUAUACCUUCUUUUUUUUCUCCCAUUCGAAAUGACGUCGUUUUGAAUAUUUUCACUGUAGAUUGUGUAAACUACGUCGUAUUGACUAACCCGAGAAAACAAAAAACAAAAAACAAAAAAAUCACGACGAAAUAAAGCGGCUGUUCAUCUUCUUCGAUUCUGGUCUUUUUUCAUAGGAGGCGGGCGAUUUUGACUGCUUCUAAUUCUCGCCGGCGACAAUACCUUACUGUUUCUGAUUUCAUCAUCCUUUUUCCUCUCACGUUGUUUCAGGUAAAUCUCUUUUUUUUUUUUUAUUAGGUUUAGUUUAGGGAUUUCGUAAUCAGUUUAAGAGAAUCUGUUUCUUGUUCGAUUAUUUUUUUGUGCUUUGUUUCGUAGAUUUAUUUACCCGAGUCUUUUGUUUCCUUAGGUUCUCAGUUGUCUCUGUAUAUUGGUUUGCUUGCUUAAGAAAAUUCGUUAAUCUUUUUAUGUAUUGGUUUGCUACUAAUUAAACAUAUUCUCUCUACAAUGUCGACAUGUAUAGUGAUUCUUUUUUGUAUUUCAAUUUGACGUGUCUUUGAUUUCAUGUUAUGCAAACAAACUAAACAAUUUGGUAUCUUAUGUCUUUUUGGUGACCAUAUUGAUAUCUUCCACCACUUGUAAAGAUGAUUUCAUACAAGAGUUCAUGAUUAUUUUAACAUUUUAAACUUUUUGCUUCCUUUAUGAGUUUAUCCUAGGAUUACUUUGAAGAUGUAAGUUUUGUAAUGGUGUUUGUUUCCAAGAUACGAUAGACAAGCUAAAACAUCUCCUGUGACCAUCUUGAAACAAUUGAGUUAAAGAUUAGAUUUUCCUUUGAACCAUCUUGGCUACACUCUGUUCUUUGUGUCUCGUUUGAAGGCUUUUAUGAGUUUUCCCACACCUUGAGACUUGUCAUAAAUCUCUGAUUGUGAACCCAUUGAUCUUUUCAUAAACAAUCUGUGUUAGUUGUCUGCUGUGAACUGCUGUUUAUAAUCAGUCACUAGCUCUUGUCAUUCAUCACCAAGUCAGUUAUUGAGUUUAUAUUUACAAUCUUUUGGGUUUAAAAAUGUUGUCCCUAUGAGGAACUAGUUUUUAUGUAUGUUUCCCCUUCUGUUCUUGUUAUUCAUGGUGGAUGAUCAUUUUGCCUUGAGCAGUCAAGAAUUGAUCAUUUUGUCUCCUUAUGCAGAUAUCAAAACAUUUUCUUGAGCUAUGAGCACAGCGACCCGGCCUUCAUCUUCAACAACAACAACCUCUGUCAUCUUAGAAACCCCUAUUUCUCAACCGCAGCUGACAGAAAGAUUAGUCCUUCGUUUGACCCGGAAGAAGAAGAAAGUUUCAUGGAAGGACGGGACCGUGGACAACGAGUUUAUGCAGAGGAAGAGUUCAAAGAAAUGUUGUAUCUUUCACAAACAGAAGCCCUUUGAUGAGGAUGACAGUGAAGAAGAAGAAGAAGAAGAAGACAACAACAACCACCACCAUCACCAUGAUCAUGAACAUAACCAUGAACACUCCGAAUCUGGCAGUAAGGCCUCGUCGUCUUCAAAUGAUAUUAAAGCUGAUGACUGAUCGAUCGGGUUCUCUUAUCACUAUUAUAGAGCUAUUCAAGCCUUUUUAAUGGAUCAGUGAAGAUAACAAUUUUGAUAUUUUGGUUUCAUUUUCUACUCUUCCCGUUACAUAACCCUGGUUUGGCUUUUUAUAUGUAAAUACAGUGUGCAGAUUCCGUUGCAAUUGAUCAAUGUUGACUAACCAACGUAUGCAAAAAAAUCAGUCAUAUUGAAUUGAAUGUUUCAUUAUGUCAGAAAAAUAUCGCCUUAAAAAUCUUGGAAAUGUAAAUGAUCCCACAUAAAGAUUCAACUAACUUUACAAUUCUCAAAUGGUAUGGAUCUUCUUAGAUGGUCUUCACUUGUAAUCAUGACACUCGAUGAGAAAAAUUUAACAAAUAGAUAACUCUCACGCACCAUAAAGAAUGGCUUCAUAUCAACUUUUUGCAAGCCUACCAAGAAAUAGGUGCAAGUGGUCAUGGAUGAAAUGAUUAACAUAUGAACCAAAAGUCAUUUUUUCCAAUAUCUGAAAAACUCGUAUAUAUGUUCAAUGAAUCUAAUUGUGUAUUGGACAAAUGAUGUUGUCCUUAUUUGACUGUUGGAAAAUAUACUCUGUUGAAAAGGAAUAAUAAAAAGUUGUACUCGUGACUCUGACUUAGCGUAAGAAUAACACUAUAUACUCCAGGGCAAUAUGUGGAUUACAUUACUCCAUCUACGGAUUCUCCACCACUAUUUUUAUAAUUCGAUCAGAAUAAUACACGUACGAAAGCUUGAUCAGAAUCUAUUCUUUAGCUAGUUGCUCCCAUAUAAGGCAAAAAUAUAUUAUGUUUGGAUGGGCCAAACAGCAAAAGGUAAAAUAAAAUAAAACAAUGGCGGGACGGGAACUAUAGCUGUUAUUUAUACUCUGCAGAGGUUGUCGAGUGAUUAAGAGGUCUGGUCCAGGCUUUUUGUUGGUGAUGGGCCCUCAAAGGAAGCCCAUUAUUUAAAUACUGAUACUGUGACUAGUCAAAUCAAAUCUCUUGAAACAAAAAGUCACCUAGGUCUUCAUCAAUCCAUGUGGGAAAUGGUUUGAAUGUGAUUAACGAUAUCAUACCUUAAAUGGAUUUUGUUUUUAAAAAAAAUAUGAUUUUAAUUCAAGAAAAGAAUUUUCAUAAGUGUGUAUACAGUUUAUAAAACAAUUCGAAUGAUAGAAAACAAAAGUUACAAAGCAUGAGGUGUGUGUGUGGCGUGAGUUUGAAAAUAAGUAAAUGGGUCUAACCUAAGUUGCUGACAGGUUUUGGCAUUUAUACUUGUAAGUACAUAAACAUUGAUUAGUGUUAUUUAAUUCAUCACUAAUUUAUUAUGGAAACUGACGAGAGUGGGUGAACGAAUACUGUAUAUCACUUUGAUGUGUGACUAAGGAAGUUGUAAAACAUUUUUUUGUAAUAUAAAUUGCAAUCAAAACUUUGUUAUGUAUGAGUGUUGACGACAAAAUGUGGUCUUUAUAUAUAAAAUAAAAAAUAAAAAAAAAUUGAGGGCAUCAAAGUUUUUGGCUUUUGCGGCUAAUGGAGAAACAGUAACACGUAGAGCGCACUCCCCCGUGGUCCAUAAAGCCACCAAACCUCUCUCAAUUAACCCAAAAAUAAUUAACAUAAUUAUAAUUUCGAAAUGGUGUAUUAAUUACAUUUUACUGAUCUAUUCUCUCUCUUCUAUGGUUCUCAAUGAUCUUUAAUUUUUUAAUCAAAUUCAUAUGUUGAUUCCGAAAUAGAUAAAACUUUACGAAAAAGCAAAAGUAAAAAACAAUAUAAAAAAAAACAUAAAUAAAGAAAAAGCAAAAACAAAAGAAAAUAAAUAAGGAAGAACAAAAAAGUGGAGGAACGUGGCACAAUUCCCCGUGCGUGCUUUUGCCUUCGCUUCCCAGACGCAAAACGCAGACGCACCCAAUAUCAAAACUGCUUCCUCUCUUCUUCUCUCUCUCUCUCUCAGAUCGAUUUUUUUGGGUUUUUCCGAUCAUUCAACGGUAAUCUCCGCCGUUUAUUUCAUCAACGGAGGAGGAUCUAAUCUCCGUGUACGUAUGCCCUUUUCUUUAUACAUACGCCUUUUCCUUGAUUUUUUUGAUUCCGCCGAAACCUUCUUCGUUCUCGUGAGACCCCUUUGUGUCGUCGUGAUUACGAAAUCGACUUAAGAAUUUGUAGGUUGAUUUUGUUGUUUACUUGUGUAUUUUGUUAUUCUUCUUCUCCCUCUUCUCUGAGCUUUUGUUAAUUCAUUUUGUAUCCAUUAGAAUUGAUCGCUUAAUUCAUAACAUGAUCAAAAUCAUAAUUAGUUUCUUCAGUAUCUGAGUUUGUUUUCGAGAUACUCUUCUCUUCCCUGUGUUCCAUUUUGAUCUGUGUAUAUUUGGUUAUACGAAUCUCAGAUCUUAUUUGUAUUGUGUUUUUUUCUCGGUGUGCUUACUAUGAUCUGUUUCUGCAGGGUUUACAAUAGGUGACUGUUGUUACUGCGUGAGGACGUAUACAAGUUGUUUGCAAGUUUUGUGUUUAAGUUAAAGCAGCGUAUUGGAGAAUAAUAGAGAUUAUGGGUUCAGUUUGUUGUGUAGCUGUGAAAGACAGAAAGGUUCCUCCUAGUAGUGGUGGACCUGCCAGUGCGUCUGUUCAUCGGAACUCAGUUUGUUCGCCGCAGUGGAGUUUCCGGCGUGACAAUAGGAGGCGAGUGGCUGAUGAGAUUGAGGGUUCACCUUAUUACAGUUCGUUUGUUGGGAGUAGAGGUAUUAGUAUGGAUAAGAUGUCAUUAGGGUCUGAUAGAGGAACUUUAUCUGAGGGAGGAACUCCUCCUGAUGGGCAUUUAGGGACUCCUGCCUCUCACAAAUCAGCAACUCCAGAGAUGAGCACUAAUUCGAUGGUUCCACCUUCUUCAGGUUAUUCUCUAAGACAACAACUAUUGGGAGAUUUAUCUUACUCAUUAUUUUGAGUCUGUUUUAGUUCUUUCCUUAAAUCUUCCCAUUCCACCAUCAUGAUCAAAGAUGGAAAAGCAUUUGUAGUCUGAUUAUAUUUAUUCUGUUGUAUAAAGCUUGCUAGUUUUCAUUAUCUCUUGUCGUUGUUGACUAGAUAUAGUUGCCAAGUCAAUUUUAAGUAGGAUGUUUAUGACCAUAUUCUAACUUGGCACCAGGAACUAUUACUGUAAUAUAUUAAGCUUGCUUAAUGUGCUCUUGCGGUGUCUUAUGUUACACUUUUGUGUGCGGCAGGUUCAUCCUUGGCAAGCAGUGAUCUCAUUGAGGUGAGAUUAUCAACUUAACUCAUAGUUUGAGCUUUACGAGUUUUGAUUUGUUCUCUGUCAUGUGUUUUUCUUAAGCACCUUUGGUUUCCUUACAAUUUGAGGUUAAGAGUGCUGGGCUUUCCUUCUACUUGUGUUUCUCCUAGGGAAGUAUUAUCUUCUUUCCUUCAGGUUUCCUAACCUCUUUUUGGUUCUUCAUUGUUUCAGGUGAAGAAUUUCAUUGACUCACCUGGAAUUGUCCCAUCAGCUUUACCGAAACCUUUGUUCUCUACGCCUUCUCUUCCCAAUCCAGUCGGUGAUCUUUCCUCGACGCACACGCGUUUGCUUCCUCCUAGAUCUACACCAUCAAGACGGGCUCGGCGUUCACCUGGGCACCAGUUGUUUAGGCAGGUUUCUGAUAGUCAAAUUUUAGGAUUGAAAUCCCCAAAUAACAAUUACUCAGUCUCAGAAGGAAGGUCAUCUUUUGUGCUUUCGACCUGUAGCAAUGACUUCGCCACUGGAUCCCAAUACGCAUCCUCUGAAGGUGGUUGGUCUGUGAACACUUUUUCUGAGCUUGUGGCAUAUUCUCAAAGGGAGAGAUGGUCCUUUGAUAGCGAACACUUGGGUUCUGGCAGACGGAAACUAAGUGGUGGUAGCAGCAGAUUCUCCUUCUCCCCUUCCGUUGUUGAUCAGCAGACUUGUGGAGCUUGCUCAAAGUUACUGACCGAGAGGUCCACUAUUGCCAAUUUCGAGCUCCCAAUUGCUGCUGUUCUUGCUUGUGGCCAUGUUUACCACGCAGAGUGCUUAGAGACCAUGACUACUGAAAUAGAGAAGUACGAUCCUGCCUGUCCCAUAUGCACGAUUGGGGAGAAACGGGUUGCGAAAAUAACAAGGAAAGCCCUAAAAGCAGAGGCGGAAGUGAAGGCGAAACAGUACAAAAGAUGUAAAAACCGGGUGGUAGAUAGUUACGGUGAAAGUGAAUGUGAUGAUUUCGAGUUCCAGAAAAUGGGAAAACGAGAAGGCGAAGCGCUCAAGCUGGAACCUAGUUGCAGUAGCAAGAGCUCGUCUAAUAAGUCAUUCUUGAAAUGGCACUUCGCUUCUAUCAGCUCCAAGUGGAGUAAACCCUCGUCCAAAGACUCUGCAUUGAAGAAGGGGUUUUGGUCUAGACAUCGUAAUAACCGUUCUUCAUCAAGCAUAGAGGUAAAGAUCUAUACACUGAGAUAUUUCCAAUCCUGAAUUGCAAAAGAAAUGAUAAUCUUGUAAUAACCAAUAAGACGUAUUUCAGGGACUUAACCAGACAUCGCAGCUAUGAUGAAACCCCAUGAUCUGGAUCAGAGGCAUGUGGGUUAUUUAGGAAAGCUUUGUAAAAAACAGAUAUUCAGCUUCAGCUUUAGCCUUUAGAGCUGUGUUUUAACGUUUUUUUUGGGAUAUUUUGUGUGUUUCAGUGUAACAUGUGGGGGAUAAUUUUUAGUAAUGAAACAAACACGUCGUUUUAGAAAUUUUUGAGAAAUUGCCAGACACUAACAGAGAUUCUAAGAAGUUUUUUUAAAACAAUCAUCUCACACUAACAGAGAUUCUAAGAAGUUAUGCAUAGCACGAGGUUUACGGAAGAUUUAAGAGGAACUCACAAUCUGUUUCAGUUCUUGUAGCAUAUAAAGGGAAUCAGAUCAAAUAUUUUGAUUUGCUCACACUUGAAAGUAUUGUUUAUACCACCAUGAAGAGUAUACACAAAACGUUACAAUAUUGGCUUACCAAAGUGUACAUAAGGCUCAGUUUCAUAUACAAAUGUAAAGACUAAGACCUACAGUUUUCACAAAAUCUAUCCUUUUUAUAUGCCACAAACAAAUAUUACAGAUAUACAAAUAUGGUAUAUAUUUAUAUAACCCCCUAUCUAUAAGAAUGCGAAGAGCGCAUUUUUCUUGCGCUUCAAGAAUCAUAUUCCCCAAUCAACCGGCAUUGCCAGCUCUUAAGUGCGUGAAAGCCUUUCAGACAACAAAGUCGUGUAAUUGAUGGGGAUUAGAGAAUCUGCCAUCUUGCUGGUUUCCAAGGCCAACGUAGCGAUUGUAAUCAUCGAUACCAAACCCAUGAUAGUUCAUCAAGCUGUCGUACUCUCCAGUAGCAACACGGUCUGGUUUCGGAUCUGCAAACACGAGAUUCUCUUCUGCAUCAGAUCUAUAUGCCAUGUUGUUGUUGUUGUUUCCCUGAUUCUGUUGCUGCAAAGAAGACUCUUCGUGUUUGAGCUGAGAAGUUUCUAGCAUUUUGUUGUUGUCUUGAUUAGAGUUAGAGAGUAACUCUGAAUCUCCAAACUCUUCUUUAUACAUCUCUUCGAUCAUCGGUUUCCAUAGUCGAACUCUCGCGUUAAUAAACCAGUUUGCAACCUUGAAAAUGUCAAGAAUCAGAAGACCGUUCAAAUUAAAGCAACAUCAAAGAUUGAGCCAACAACAAAACUGAGACCUCGCCUUCUUGGUUACCUGGUUUUUCGAUAGUCCUGUCUGCUUUGAAAGCAUGAUUUUCUCUGAUUCCUUUGGAUAUCUACAAAAAAGCUUGAAAUGGUUAUUACAUAAGCAAAGAGAAGCAAAAACAUAGUGCCUUCUUAAACCAACAACUUACGGGUGAAGGAAAUGCUCAAAGAGCCAAGCGCGGAGUAUAGAGACAGAGUUUUCAGGUAAGCCUCUUUGUGGUCUCCAAGCUGGUCUAACCAUUCCAAGCUGUUGAUGCAAAGCUCUCUGUUGUCUCAACCUUUGAUCUAAAUACCUAAGACGCGGUAUCCUCUCUCCUUGUUCUUCAGAAGUCUCUCUCUCACCAAGCUUCCCUCUGAUUACCUGAAUCUGCUCUUUUAUCGCGUCCCGCAAGCAGCGGAAAUGGCGAGAGAUUCUAUUCAGAGCCACUGAUGUGUAAGGCUUAGCUGCUCCAAGACCUGUUACCAUCUCGAAAGACGAAGCUAAAGCUUCCAUUUGAUGGUGGUAUUGGUUAUACCUUUUAUCUACCUGCAAACACAAUCAUCAAAGCUUAAAAAAAUUCUAGUCUCAUGACCUCACUUUAAAAGUAUUGAAAGAUUUGUCUUACCUCGUCCACCAUUGUUAGGAGCUUGCUCUUCUUGUUCUGUAACUCCUGACGUUCUGAUGGAGAUAACUCCUGCGAUUGGGAUUUCUCAUCUUCUGUAAUGUUAUCACUCGACCCAUUUUGAAAGUCUUGACCUUUAUCGUUCUUCAUCUUCUUGUUCCCCAAUUUCAGUUCUUUCCUAACACUAACAACUUCAUCAAGCAAUUGCUGAGUGGGUUUAAGGUAACGAGAUCUCAGAACACUACUCACAAACCCUGAUGUCUCGUAUCGGUAGUUGUUGAAGAAUCCAACACCAUUGUUGUUGUAACCAGAGGAAGGUAUCAUUUGGUCAGAGUGAUGUUGUUGUUGAUGAUGAUGAUGACCACUCAAGCUCUUCCCAUUCUCAUCGGACAUAGUAGAAGCAUUAGGAUUACUGUAAUUCAAUUGGUUGGAAAGAUUCUGGUAAUGGUAUUGAAAGGGAGAGACAGAGACAGCUGACUGGAUCUGAUUACCAAGGCUUAAAGAAAGACCACCACCGUGAAAGCUUAGAUCGUUACUCGACACCGUUACGUUCCCGUUGACUGCAACGUCGCUUGUUGGUGGGAUAAAAACCAUCUCGUUGUUGUUUCGAACACCGCCGGAGACAAUCUCGGAGAAAGAUGCAGCAGAGGAAGAAGAAGCUUGUUGUUGUUGUUGUUGUUCGUUGAGGUAAAUGGAUUCUUGAUACAGAGAUUGCAUGCCGACACUGUUUGGAUAAUACACAGCCAUGGAUUUGUGGUUUUGUAAUGAAAGAAAAAUGCUGUUGUUACAUCCGAUUGAAUAUUUUUGUCUGAAAAUGAGAAGAGAGAGAGAGAGAGACGUGUAAGUUUGAAACUGAGUAGUGGAUAAUAAAAGAACAAUCUUUGAAAUGGUUAAAACAUCAUAUUCUUUUACGCCGCAAUUACAGAUGAAUUCAAGAAAAGAGAGAAAAGAAAAAAACAAAACCCAGAAAUCCCCAAAUUAGGUAAAAGAAGAUAUCAAAAACCCUAAUUAAUCUUUGUUGUACAGAUGAAACUUUCCACUUCAAUCAGUGACGCAAAGAAAAAAAAAACAGAGCAUGAUGAUGAUGAUGAAACCAUGAGAUAUAUAAUUAUAAAGUGUUCUCUUUUCUUUUUGUUGGGUUAUACUUUCACAAGAAUUAACAGAGAUGGUGAUGGUAAAAUCUCUAAAAAGGAAAUCUUUUUAAUAUAAAAGGUACAGGUCAAUCAUAGUCUUGAAUCAAGAAACUGCUAAUAAGAACAAUCGAAUUAUUUAAAAAGAAAUGGAAACAAAAAGAAUCAUAACCUGAGAUGAUGAAACUUUUUUUAAAAAAAAAGCCUACAAAAGAGAGAAGAGAGGUUGUGGAUGUGGCUGCAUCAGGGAACACAACAGAGAUAAAAAGAAGAAGAAGAAUAAGAAGAAGAAGAAGAACUUCGAACAACAGUCCAAGACAAAAAGAGAUAGAGGGAGAGAGAGAGAGAGAGAAAGAGCAGACACCCAAUCCCAAGAGACGAUUUUAUAAAUCCCAAUAUAUUAUAAUAAACUAAAAAAAAAAAUUGGUGCUUUCACUCACAAAGAAGAGAACCAAACCAUCUUAUCAUUGGAACCUCGACAACAAACCCUGAUUUUAACAAAUAAUUUAAAUGUUUAACAAAUAAUAAUAUAUCAUUAAACCCUAUGGAGAAAUUUGACAAUCUCUACCAGUAAUUCUUUUUUGUUUUUAUUUAUUAAUCCCAACCGAAGCUUCUGUAUCAAAUUAUCAAUAAAAUAAUAAUAAUAAUAUUAGAUUUUUGUUCUGUGGCCAACCAUUUAGAGAAUAGCACGCGUGAGCUGAAAAUUCAUUGUAUAUAAUUCUGAUAGGAUUAUCUUUAGAUAAUAGAGAAUAUUUUUAUAAAUAUGACUUUUUAAUAUAUAUAUAUUCAAGUUAAUCUGAUGAAACAAAAGAAUAUUAUUGGAACCCGAACGAAUACUCUGUUGUCGUUGACUUGACUUGGUACUUAUAUAACAAUACAAUUACACAAAAAAUAUAAGAAUAUAUAUAUUUUUCAUUUAAAAAAUGAAGAAAAGAGUUGAGUUUUUCAUAUUUUAUGUUUUAUGUGUCAAGUUUAAUAAGUAGCUUGGAAACAAAUUCAAGCAACCGUUGAAUUGUUUUUACUAUUAAAUUUGUCCACCAAAGCUUUGAUGAGAGAUUAAUUUCUAACUAAAGAAUCUCAAAUAUUAGUUGUGGGUGUGCUAAUAAAAAUCAUGGGUUAGUCUUAAGUCUUAACCAACAACAACAUAUAUGUUUUUAUAAUUUCUUACAUGAUUGCGGUACGGAUCGUUGGGGUUCUAAGCGAACGAGAAACAUGUGUUACGUGACUACUAGUAUAUGAUACUACUUCAUAACUAAUCUAUAUAUAUAUAUAUAUAUAUAUAUAUAUAUAUAUGAUGAUGUAUAUAAACGAUAAAACUCUCUAUAAAUAAUGUAAUUAAAAUCAACAACAGAAACAUUUUUUCUGCUCUUCUAUUGUUGUUUAUAAGGGUAUACGUGUUCGUUUGCUUAAUACGUCGGGCACACAUUUCUUAUUAAGUGACGUGCAAAAGAGGAAACUAAAAUAACUCCGCUUCUUCUUUUUUUCAGGAUUUUCUAAUUUCUUUAACAUAAUUCACAAACAAAUAAAGAAGUAGAAAUGUCAACAAAACAAAUAUAUUAAAAAAUUAAGUUACUAGAAUUACAAAAGCAACCCUAUAAAACCUAAGAGAAAAUUUGAUUUGCUUUGAGGAAGAAGUGUUGUAUCUUCUCAAUUGCUUAAUUGAGGGAUUAAAGGACCUUAACAACCAGUAGGUGACGACCACCCAAUUUCCUUCCUUGUAACGAAAAAUCCAAUAAUUUUGACUAACAACAAUAAACACAAUUUUCUUGAAUCAUCAAGCUUGUUUUUAUAUACUAUGUGACAUGAGGAUAUAUGUGACAUGAGAAGGGAAAAAAGUCUAUUUUAUUUUUCUAAAAAAAUAAAUAUAUUUAUAAAAACAAAUAGCAGUAAUAUGGAAACUUUAUGAUGGGUCGAUUCCUUGUCCCAAGAGGAUCUAUGGAGGUUGUGUAAUAAAUAAUAGAAAAAGUAGAACUUGAAAAAGAAAAAAAGAAAAAUGAUGAAAAAAAUUGAAACUGAAAUAAAUAAGGUAGCUGUGUCGGACGCGAGGGUUGGUGAAAGUGGCCAAAAAAAAAAAAAAAAGGCUUGGACGCCAAUUUGUUUUGUAGACGACGUUCGUUAACGGCUUUGUUGUGUCCAUUAUUCAUAAAUGUUUAUUCUUCUAGUUUUCAUUUUCUUCUGUAUAUUCUUUGUUUUAUUUUAUUUGUUUCUAUUGUUUUUGGUUGAGUCUCGGUUUUUGUCAUCGCUUGGAACAGCCGACACAAACCUUUCAAUGAGAAUCAAUGUGUUACACCAAAUCAUCUUUAUGUUCUUUUGUUAUGAGUGUAUUAUUUUUUUAAUGUACAAUUGGCAAACGACUGGUGGAAUAUAUAUGUGAGUAAUAAAUCCAAACGUAUUGAAAGGUUCAAAUAUUUUUAACUUUCUAAACUAGGUUACAUGAAUGUGGUUUUCUAAAGCGAAUUAUGAUGAGUUUCUCUCAUAAUAAUACUUAUAAUUAGAUUUGAAUCGAUGAUGACAGUGCUAAAUGAGGAAACGACGAGUAAGAAACCAACAGCUUUUGUUUGGACAAAAGCUUUCUCCCACAUUUAGUACACCUACAUUAUGACAGCUAAUAAUAUUAAAUAUCCUUAAUUACGAUAUAAAUAAGAGGAUAAUUGCAAUUGGGGGAGAAAAUAAUGAACAGUUAAUUCACUAUCGAUUAUUUUACAAGAACAAUCUGAUUAAACUACAUAUGUAAAUGACAUCAAAGUAGUAUAAGAAUAAGAGUUUAUAGUAUGGUUAGAUAUAUAUGUUUACGUUGAACAGUAAUUAAUCCCAUUAGUUGACAUCAGAGUAGUAUAAGAAUCAGCUUUUGUUUCAUAAGCCGUAUAUAGCACCAUUAAAAUGCUCUGACACAAAAUCUGAUUUUGACCUAGUUUGUCGUAUCUUUACAUAAUGUUUCGCUGAGAAUGAUAUAUAUAUCCGGAGAAGCCACUAUAUUUGAGUUUCAUCUUUCAAGCGUUUGAGAAAUUACACAUGCAAUGUAAAAUCAUAAUGUUUUUGUAUCAUAAGAGGGAAAUAUAUAUGGUUCUCGCAAAAAAGAUUGACACGACCUGUGAAAUUACAUUUUCAAAACAUACGUAGAACAUAAUAAAUUGGCAGUGCAUGAGAUUUCAAAGCCAUAUGAUAAUAUUAAACCUCAUUAGUAAAUGAUACACAAUUACUAAAGUGGAGUUUCAAUUUUAUCUUGUAUUAAAAUUGCCUUUUUCUUGGUGCAAAUAAAAUUUCCCAUGAUAAUAUAGUCUAACAGAAACCUCUUCUCUCACUAGCGGCUUUAAGACCAAAUAACCCUCUUUGUCGCCUAGAGGGUUAAAGAAUUAUUUGCUUUCAAAACGGCAUGAUUUGCUUUCAAAACGGCAUGAUUUGCUUUCAAAACGGCAUGAAUUGCGAAAACCUACAAAAGUGCUAACUUCCAAGGUUCUUCUUCUCAGUAUCACUGAGUUUGAAUCAGUUCUACUCAGAGAUCCAAUUUCUUUUGCCUAAUCGUAAUCAAAAAUUUGAUUUUGGAGAUUAGUAGCUUAGUUCGAGGAGGAAUUUGCGAAGAUUUAUUGUUGAAAACCGUGGGAUGUGUGUUUAGCGGAGAAAAAAAAAGCAAUGUCGAAAGCGUCGACGAGCAUUUGGGUCACAAUGCAAAGGAAGAGAUGGGCAAUGAUGGUUUUAUUGUUUUUAUCUGUAUCAACGGUUGGGUUGAUUCUCGUGAGAUCUAGCUUUGAAUCAUGUAACUUUAGCGGCCAAUUCGUGGAGGAGAAGAAUGGUGAUAGCAGCGCCACGAAGCUUCAAUCAAAUCCUCUAGGUUUCAUGAAAUCGAAGCUCGUUUUGUUAGUUUCCCACGAGCUAUCACUCUCAGGUGCUAAAUUUGAUCCCUAUUUGAUCCGGGUUUUCGAAAAAAUCCUUUCUUUCUCUUAAGGGGAUGAUUGAUUUUGUGUGACGAAGGUGGACCGUUGCUGUUGAUGGAAUUGGCGUUUUUGUUAAGAGGAGUUGGUGCUGAAGUUGUUUGGAUUACUAAUCAGAAACCACUUGAAGCAGAUCAAGUUAUCUACAGUCUAGAACACAAGAUGUUGGAUCGAGGAGUUCAGGUUCUCUUUAUCUUUAUCUUAUCAAGAUGUAUACUGCUUAAGUUGCUGUAAAGAUGUUGUCUUGGACUUUUUCUUAGUCCCGUUGUACUGAAUUAGCAACUUUAGUGAAUACGAGUAUCAUUUACUAUAUUGAUUGACCAAGUUCUUUGUUUCUUUUUUUGGUCUUGAUGUGAACUCUCUGACUCCAGGUGAUCUCUGCAAAGGGUCAGAAAGCCAUAGAUACAGCUCUCAAGGCUGAUUUGAUUGUUCUAAAUACUGCUGUGGCUGGGAAAUGGCUGGAUGCUGUUCUCAAGGAAAAUGUUGUUAAAGUUCUACCUAAGAUCCUUUGGUGGAUUCAUGAGAUGAGAGGACACUAUUUCAAUCCAGAUUUGGUCAAACACCUCCCCUUUGUUGCAGGGGCCAUGAUUGAUUCUCACGCAACAGCUGAAUACUGGAAAAACAGAACUCAGGCUCGUCUAGGGUCCGUUUCCUCCUUUGCACUUCCUGCUUCAUGUCAAUCAUAUACAGAAAUCUCAGUUGGGUUCACCUGUUUUUAUUUCUUCUUGUAGCUUAACACUGUUCUAUGACUGUUGGAAUACAGGAUUAAAAUGCCCAAAACUUAUGUCGUACACUUAGGAAAUAGCAAGGAAUUGAUGGAAGUAGCUGAAGACAGUGUUGCCAAGAGAGUUCUCCGUGAGCACGUCCGAGAAUCUCUUGGAGUACGGAAUGAAGACUUACUAUUUGGCAUUAUUAAUAGUAUGCCAUCUUUUAAGUCUUUCCUCUUCUCAGUCCCUUGAGGAGGAUAAUCUAUUUAAGGAGUUAAGAGUUCAUGUGUAACCAAAGAAUUUACCUGAGUUUGUUAUUAUUUUCAGGUGUAUCACGAGGAAAAGGCCAGGACCUAUUCCUCCGAGCCUUUCAUGAAAGUCUUGAAACAAUCAAAGAGAAGAAACUUCAGGUACCAACAAUGCAUGCAGUAGUAGUAGGAAGCGACAUGAGCCGACAGACAAAGUUUGAAACUGAACUACGCAACUUUGUCCAAGAAAAGAAACUUGAGAACUUUGUUCACUUCGUCAACAAAACUCUAACCGUAGCUCCAUAUAUAGCAGCCAUAGACGUUCUUGUCCAGAAUUCGCAAGCCAGAGGAGAAUGCUUUGGGAGAAUAACAAUCGAAGCCAUGGCCUUUAAGCUACCUGUACUUGGUACUGCAGCUGGAGGUACAAUGGAGAUUGUAGUGAACGGAACAACCGGUCUGUUACAUAAUGCAGGGAAAGAAGGCGUGACACCUCUUGCCAAGAACAUAGUGAAAUUGGCGAUGCAAGUUGAGUUACGGUUAACAAUGGGGAAAAAUGGGUAUGAGAGAGUAAAAGAGAUGUUUUUGGAACAUCAUAUGUCACAUCGAAUAGCUUCGGUUCUCAAGGAAGUCUUGCAACACGCAAAGGCUCAUGCUUUACGAUGAGAUGAAAUCAUUUAAACUGGGAUGUUUCUUCUGUUCAUAGAAAUUUUACAAAACUACAGCAAAUUUUGUUCCUUUUUUUUUUGUUUGUGUAUGAUGGUUUUCUAAUUAUGAAUACAAAUUGAGAAUUAGCUUCGCUGCUGAAUUCGUAAGUGCCGUCGAAGUCUUGUGUCAUCUAAAUUACAGAGUGUACAUAUCCUGGAGUUAAACUGAUAAAACCAAAACGUAUGGGGUCAAAGUAGAAUAUGUGUAAAAGAGCGGGAUUUAAUAGAUAUACGUUAGUACGUUAGGAAUGUUUCAGUUGUGGAAAAUCAAACGGGAAAUAUAACAGAUUCUUUAGCUGAGAAAAGGGAAGAAAAAAAUCUCAGAAUCGUUCGUGUCCUUCGUUCUCUUGCUUUACUUAGUACUUCAAGUUCAAAGCUUUCAAGGUUCGCUUCCAUGGAAGACAGAGAAGAAGAGUCAGAGAGGAGACGCGACGCCAUUAAGACGUACAAGCAAAAGCUACUCAUUCGCAAAUUUCACCAACUAUCACUCGAUUUUGGUCCAGAUUCCUUCUAAACCCUCUUUCCCAGCUAAUGUUUGCUAUGCACGUCUCUUUCUAGGGUUUAAUGAGAAUGCAUGACAAGUGUUUUCUGUGUGUCAGUGACGAGGAUAUUGGAGCUUAUCAAGAAAGUGUUUAAAGAAACUGAACACGUUCUCAAUUACCUUACCACUACUCCUGCGGAAGCAGUUGGAGAAAUCGUAAAACCUCUAGACAAAGAACGAUGUAAACAUCUCUCUCUCUCUCUCUCUCUCUCUCUCUCUCUUUCACUUUUUCUUGAUUUUGUUUUGUUUUGUUUCUUUGUCAGAUCCAUUCACUUUCACAAAUUUAAUCUUCAGUUAUUGUGAAAGGAGACGAGGGAGUUCGUUACAUUGUGAAGUGCUGUAACAAAGUGGAUAAAUCAAAGCUAGUUUCUGGAACCAGAGUAACUCAUGAGAUACUAUCAAUGACGAUCAUGAGAAUUCUCCCUCCUAUGGUUAAUCCCUUGGUUUAUAAUAUGGUGCAUCAACAUCGUGGAGACGUUAGCUACUCCGAUCUUGGUGGUUUGUCUAAGCAAAUCAGAGAUCUUAGAGAUUACAUUGAACUUCCUCUCACGAAUCCUGAUAUGUUUCAACGAGUUGGUGUAAAGCUUCCCAAGGUUUGGAUUGAUUUUGUUGUUCUGAUUUCGAACUUGUUGUUCCCAAGAUUCACUGUGUUGAGUUAUGUUAGUAGGGAGUGCUUCUUUAUGGACCUCCUGGAACUGGAAAGACAUUGUUAGCUAGAGCAAUCGCUAGCAAUAUGGAUUCGACUUUUUUGACAGUAAGAGACUUCAUAUACAAUGCUUGUUUUUAAGAUCUCUUAGCUUGUACCAAAAUUAUAGGAUAGUUUGGUUUUUUUGAAGGUUGUUUCUAGCGCGCUUCUAAGCAAAUAUUUAGGAGAUAGUUCAUUGUUAGUGAGAGAGAUGUUUAGAUAUGCUCGUGAUCAUCAAGUAAGUUCUCUAUAUUUUUUUGCUUAAUAUAUACAUGUUUGUGAUUUUGUAUAGCUUACGUCUGAGAUAAGCUGUGUUAUUUUCUUCUUCUUAAAGCCCUGCAUCAUCUUUAUGGAUGAGAUUGAUGCUAUUGGUACACGUCGUGGAUCCAGAGAAGACGUAAGACCGUGUGAAUGUGAUAGAGUUCUCAUUGAGCUUCUUUCCCAGCUUGAUGGAUUCAAUGAACUUGAGAAGGUAUCUCUGCAUCUUUGUUGUUUUAAAAUGCUCAGCAAAAAGAUUCAUUUAUGAAUCAUGGCUUCUUGUAUUUUAUUAGGUGAAAGUAAUAAUGGCAACAAACAGACCUGAUGUUCUUGACCCUGCGCUUCUUCGACCUGGUAGGAUCGAUAAGAAGAUAGAGAUUCCAUUGCCUAAUGGAGAUUCUAGAAUGAGAAUACUCAAGAUUCAUGCUUCUGGUAUAAAUAAACAUGGAGAGAUCGAUUACGAGAAGAUUGUGAAAUUAUCUGAGGUUUGUCACACAUACAUACAUAGAUACAUACAUACAUGACUUGUGUUUGUGUAAGCAAAACAAAACAGAGCAUAUUGUUUUUAUAUUGAAAAAAUGUAUUUUUUGCAGGGAUUCAAUGGAGCAGAUUUGCGUAACAUAUGUACUGAAGCAGGGAUGUUAGCUCUACGAGCAGAGCGCGAUUACGUUGUCCCCAAUGAUUUCAUCAAGGUAAGUUAAGUUUCUGCUUAUUGUAUGAUCUUUGAUAAUCUGUUGCAAUCUUUCCCAUCUUAUGAUCAUAAAAAACACUUUUUUCAGGCUGCGACAAGACUAGGCGAAGCGAAGAAACUUGAAUCCAGUGCACAGUACGAUGUUGACUUUGGGGAAGAGUAAAGAUAGAGAAACAUACAGAAGAAGAGAUAAAACUGACUAACAAAUUCAUGAAAAGAAGAAGCAUAGAUCUAAUUAGACAGAGAACAUUUGUUCUGUUUUUAAUUGUUUCAGUCAGUUUGAAUCAUCAUUAGCUUCUCUUUGCAUGGAUUCAUCUGAGGAAUCUCCAAAUUCUUCUCUAUACAUCUCUUCUAUCAUCGGUUUCCAGAGUCGAACUCGAGCAUUUAUAAACCAAUUCGAUACCUUUGAUCAUCAUCAACAACAACAAAAAUGACCUCAUUCAAUAUCAGGAUGAUACCAAAAUUUUUAAAGCAAGAUCAGAGUCAGAGAAGUGUACUUGGUUCUUGGAAAGUCCUGUUUGAGACGCCAACACCAGCUUCUCUGCUUCAUUCGGAUAACUGUUUUCAUUACAAGAAUCAAAACGUUAUUUGUACAACAUUUUACUUCAGUUCAUCUCUACUAUUAGUUACUUAAGCAACAAGAAAACUGACGGAUGCAAGAAAUGUUGAAAGAGCCAAGCUCGAAGAAUCGCAACGGAAGUCUCAGGCAAGCCUCUGAUGGGUUUCCAAGCAUGUCUCUGUGGUCCUUGAACCAAACCAAGACGCUGAAGUGAUGAUGAAGUGUUCCCAUCGAACAAGCUGAGCUGUGAUAAGCCAGAGCUGAUGAUCUUGGGCACAUCUUGCUGAGAGAUGAUAAAUCUCCGACGAACAGAGUUGAGCUGAGAUAUGAUUGCUUCUUCAAGGCUACCGAAAUGACGAGUCAUGGCUUGGAGAGCUAAACCGGUGUAUACUUUGGAUGAUCCAUCUCCUGCUAUUUCCUCAAAUGAUGAGAUCACUUGCUCCAAUUGAUUGCAGUACAUGUCAAAUCUUUCUUCUACCUGUCCAUAAGCCAAGGAAGUAAACCGGUUUUAACCAAAAUAUAGUUACAACAAAAACAGAGGAAACCAAUCUUAAAACAUCUUAAUCCAACAAACAAAAAAUACUAACUCUUCGAAAAUUAAAGAAAUAGACCAUUUUAUUUAGAUUUUAUUGCUAUCAAUUAAAGGUUUCUAUGCUUUAUGAUUUAGAGAUUUUUGGGUUAAGGUUUUGUCUUUACACUUUAGAAUUAGUUAUUAGACUUUUAAGUUUUGGAGUUUUAAGAAGUAUACACUACUUUGUUAAACUAAACAUAUAUAAACCCAAUUUAGACUAUUUUAAAAGUCGUUUGGAUGAUUAGAGUGACUGACCUGUUGCAACAAACUGAGAAGCUUGGUGAUUUUGAUAUGAAUCUCAUGAUUCUCAGGCAAAGACAUGAAACCUGCACUGCAAAGUUCGGAUUUGAUUUCGGAAGACAAACCAAACCCGGAUCUUCUCCUUCCUGGAAACAUUUGUUGGAUUAGGAUGUCGUUGCAGAGCUCAACAUCUCUACCACCUAUAUCGAUAACUUCUUCUACAAGGCAUUGCACUGCCUUGGCAUAUCUUGAAUCCAACAAAGUACCACGAAGAGAUGAACACUCAUGUCUUACUCUAAACUCAUCCAUCUUCCUCUACUUGGAGACGUUUUUGUUACUCCCUUUGCUCCACAACAUACAUAUAUAACCAAGAAGCAAUCAGUAUAUAUAUUUUAUAUCCAUAUAUUGGCUUUUAAAAAAAUUGGAAGUUGACUUGUAGCGAAGAUAGCUUUUGAAACCCAUAAAUACUAGGCCAAUGCUAGUUAUAAACCAGAGUGCCUCCAUUAUAUUUUGUUUUUCUUCAUUUUUUUUUUUAUUUUUUUGAUAAUUGAGUAAACAUUAUAUUUUCGGUGGACUUUAUUGCUUGUAUAAAUAUCAAAUUUGAAAAUGAGGAAACUGUUGGUUGAAAUGUGUGCUGUUUACUGAGGUAGAUUCUACCUAUUAUUCGAUUAGACCCUAAAAUAGUAUAUUUUUGUGGCAACACAACACAUAUAAAAGAUAUAACGUUUAAAAACACCACUAUUUGAGGUAAUCCAUGGUCAAAGCUAAGUUUUGUAUUCAAUAAUUGUGUUAAGGAAAGCACUGAAGAUUUUGAAAAUCAUGAAGCACCUAGAGAGUAAGAGCCAAUGCUGCAUCCUGCAGCAAAGGAAUGCACUAUGCAUAGUUACCUACACCUCCACCUAAUAAUAGCACUUAGUGUAUAUCUAAAACAAUGGCAAAUCAAUUAAGUAAAAAGUGAAAACUGUCCAAAGUUUUUUUGGUUUUUGUAUAUCCUUGUCAAAAAAAAGGGAUUUCAAAAAAAUCUAUAUGGUCCCUCCCUCCCUCUGAGCACAAAAACAACAGGCUUUUGCAUAAAUGCUUCUUCUUAUCUUGUUUCAGCAUCCAUGAUCCCUUUUUUGAGCUUCUUAGCUUUGUUGGGAAGUUCAAAACCCCAAAAAGAGAAAAAGACAUACACAUGCAAACAACAAGUAUUAACUUCUCUUUACAUUUUCUUUUUAAGAAUUACUUUUCAAUAUAUGUUGCACAGGAAGUAUAAUAUAUAUAUUGUUUACUUCUUUUGCUAUUAUUCCUAUACUUCUAUACAUAAUAAUCAAAAGGGGUAAACUAGUGUAGACGUGUAGUCGAAGACUUAAAGACUUGUUUGUGGAACCAAUAAUGACUCUCUUGGGGGAACAAAUCAUAUUUCCUAACGACUAUGAUUUCAAAUUUCCACAAUUCUUCUUUAAGAAUGAUGGAGUUAAGAUUUGACAGCCAUGUAUUGGAGUUACGUUUAGUUUUCUCUUCAUGUAUAAACGAGCAUGCAUGUUUGGUCAAAAUCUUCAUGAGAGUUUUACCUUAUUAAAUGUGGAUGUAAAAGAAGAAGGGUUCAUGAUUGCUGUUAUUUAUUGGAAAAUUCAGAGAUUUUGUCUGCGUCGUCUGAACUGAGAACAAUAAAGGCAAAGGAGCAUGAAAACUUUAAAAGAGUAGUAUUCGUUGAUAAACAUGAUAGUAGGUGAUUGAUAAUUAGGACAGCUCGUAGAUGUUGAAAAGACGCUGCAAAGAUCUUGAGGACAUUGCUUUGGCUCUUUUCAUCUACACUUUCUGCUGCUAGUUGCUACUACUACACAUCCAAUGGGCCUUCGAGUCUUCGACUUUUUCACCUAUUCCUAGCUUCUAUUUAAUUUAUUCCACUAUAAUAUUUGAUCAUUUAUUUGUUUUGGUCUCACAGAGUUUUCAUAAAAUGAAAAAAGUUCAAAAAACUAAAAAUAUUCAUUAUAACAAGUAUUUUUUAUUUUUUGGGGGUUUAAUGCUCUCAUGAUUCCUUUUUUUUGUUUUAUUUAGAAAUUACAUAAAUUUCAUUUGCCUUAAAACAGCAAUUAUAUCUAAUUUAAUACAAUCCAAAGGGCAAUGAAAAAGUACUGCAAAAUAUAAAAAAUCACAAUACAUCCAAUUAACUGAAACAAAGCAUAGAAAAUUUUAAAAAAAUAUCCAAUAAUGAACAAAAAAAAAUUCUUAAACAUCUAACUUAAUCAGACAGGGAAAGUAUUUAACAAGGAUUUUUUUUAACUUAGGAAAAAAAAAAAAAUUGUAGUCUAAUAAUUUUCAUUAAUGAGGAAUAAUAAAAUAGUGAUAAUGGAAACGCAAGCAAGAACAUGAUAAGUUACAAUUUCACCCUUGGACCGUUUCAUUAACGCAGGCAAAAUCCAGCGAUCCUGGCUGCAAGUCACUGACACAGAUACACCAAAGUACGAAACGGUCGUGGAUCUUAAUAAACGCAGGAUUCUACACGUGGCGACAUCUUGACCGUCCAUUAAAACAAACAAUCAAACCUUCCGAUCUGAUAUUAAAGAUCUCUUCUUCAAUCAUCGAAGACCCCACUAGUCUCACCCCUCUGAUCCUUCCUCGAUCCUUCUUCUCAAAAGGGGAUUUGAGAUUUUUAUCUCUUUGUCUCUCAAUCUUCUAAGAAGAAGCUCCAUGACAAGCUCCAGUGCUCCUUCUCGCAAGGUUCUCUCUCACUUGCUCUGUUUAUUUGACUUUGGUUUUGGAAUUAGGGUUAUUGACUUUGGGAAAAUUGUGUGGUGUGUAGGCUCUGAGCAAGAUCGCGACUAACAGGCUUCAGAAAGAGCUUGUUGAAUGGCAGAUGAAUCCACCCACUGGCUUCAAACAUAAGGUCACUGAUAAUCUCCAGAGGUAAAAACAAUUGUGUUUACUUUUUUGAGAAUCAUGAAAUCUCCUGAGGACUUCGUUGAUGUGAAAAUUUCAUGGGUUUGUUGUUUGCAGAUGGGUAAUUGAAGUUAUUGGAGCUCCAGGAACUCUCUACGCCAACGAUACCUACCAGCUUCAAGUUGAUUUUCCUGAGCAUUAUCCUAUGGAAUCACCACAAGUGAGAGUUUUUUUAAAAAAGUUUUAUAUAUAUUGAGAGGCCUCUGUUCAAUGGUAGUUUAGUCAGUGUUAUGAAGAUCUCUUAACUAAUGUAUAUAUUGUGAGUUUUGAAUUUGUAAGCUGAUAUAUUUAGUUUAGUGUUUAGACCCUAAACUGCAUUUGCUUUUAAAUUAGUGCUUGAUGAUCAAUCUUGGAAUCUCUGAUAUUUCUCAAGUUUGGUCUCUGCUUUAUUGUGAUAUUAUCUUUGAUCUCUCUCUCGAGUUGACUUGAGUAUCCUUUUGUUUGCUUCAAUUUUGUACAGGUGAUUUUUCUUCAUCCAGCUCCUCUUCACCCUCACAUUUACAGCAACGGGCAUAUUUGUUUAGGUAUGUCAGUAUCCUCUGUUUUUAUGAUACUCUCUUGCCUCUUUUGGUUAUUUAUCUAUUACUUUUUGUUUCAUAAUAUGAUUUCUAAUGGUUCUACUUGCCUUCAUCUGAAGCUUGAUGGUAGAUGUCUUUGAUUAUUCGUGUUUAUUCUCCAUAGAUUUGGUUUUUGUCAUGGAAUAAGGCAUCUCAUCUCUCGCUUGUGUUUGGUAGGAACAAGAUAUAUUAAGAUAUUUGGCAAUAGUCCUAGUCAUAAACUCAACGGCCAUUUAUGAAUUAUGAUCCUCUGUGAACUAAUUUGGAGUCUUACUGAUAAUAGAUAUUUGAUUUAGAUCCAAAGGUAUUCCCAUAUCCAUAAGAUCAGUGUUGAGAAAAAUCUACAUCAUGGCUGAAAACAUUUUGAGCAUUUCUUGCAUUUUAUUAUUCGAAUUGUAAUGUACAUUUUAAACAUAGGCCAUCCCAAAGAAGAAGCUGAUGUUUGUGCAUCGAUUUGCAGAUAUUUUGUAUGAUUCGUGGUCUCCAGCCAUGACGGUGAGUUCGAUAUGCAUCAGUAUCCUCUCCAUGCUUUCAAGUUCAACUGAAAAGGUACAUACAACGCUUAGUCUUACCAUUGUGCAAGCCAUAUUCUGUCUUUCACAAAGCUGAACCUUCCUCUGGCUUGGUUGUUUUUUUUUUGUUGCAGCAACGACCACCCGACAAUGACCGCUAUGUCAAGAACUGUAAGAACGGGAGAUCUCCAAAGGAGACCCGAUGGUGGUUCCACGACGACAAAGUAUAAACAGGCUCGGUCGACCAUAAAAAUGUAAAAUAAUCCGAAACAGUGUCGAGGUUUGUUGACUAUUUUUUUUAAUUUAACCGGGUUUAAGCUGGCUGUCCCAAACCCAUUCUCCAAAAUCCGUGAUGUAGAAAAACAACACAAGAAAAGAAUUAAAAAAAAAUUGGCUAAUUUGAAUUUUCUACUCUAAUUUUUAAAGCCCUAAUAACAAAAUACCCAAACCUAAUCUCUCUGAUGCUUCUCUACUAGGUCAUAUAUAUACAUCAGGAAGAAUAUUUCUCAACUACUACUUUCCUCUGGUUUUGUUCUGUCACCAUGAAGCAGCUGACGAGGAAGAGGACGAUGGAGGAAACAAAGACAAAGAUGGGUUUUGAAAGAUUCUUUGGCCAGUAGCAAGUAUAUGUCGCGGAUCGAACUCAGCCUUGAGGCUUCUGAACCGAUCCCACUUGUCCCCAAAAUGAGCCACCCACUCUUCCUGUGUUGCGUGGUGGGGAAGGUACUGCUUCACGUUGAUCUUGGCUUGUUCGCAGAACUCCAAGAUCCGCCGGUUCUGAUCUUUCAGAUACUCUAGCUUCUGUGUCUCCUCACCGUCCUUUAAAGCUGAUCUCAACAGAGCCACCAGAUAGAAAACUUCCUCAUCGGGCGUCACGGCUGAGCUCCUCUCGUCCCAUCUGGCAAAUAACAAUCAAAUUACGACACGUCAGCAACGACAAUAUUUAUACACAAUUAAUAAAAUGAUGCGUUGGAGGGUUCGUUGAGAUCGGUUUGGUUUAGGAGAAUCCGAUCGGGACCCAUACACACCAUAAGUUCUAGGAACUUAAAGAAAAAACAAAACAAAACCCAAUCUGGACCGUCGGAUUUGGUCGCAAAACAAAACGAACAAAAGAGAAAAAGACGAGCCGAUGAGGCGUUAUUGUCAAUCUUAGCUGGUUCGAUGCACAUGUGGACAACGUUUUUCGGACAAUCCCAUGUACCACGUGUCGAGUUUUUUUUACGAUUUUGACAAACUGUUUUAUUCUUGGACCACUAAUUUAAUCCCCACACAAGUGUAAUUUUGCAUGCAUGCAAAACUCGUUCUGUUCUUUUAUUUCUAUCGAUGCAGAAAUAGUAGUAAUCAACGGUUAUGUUAAGACUUACUUGUCUUUGUUCAUUGGGUAGAUAAGGAUAGGGCCACUAGUUUUAUUUCCCAAAAUGCCCUUGAAAACGCCUUUGUCGAAGUCAGAGAUUCUUGAUUUCGGUACGAAGAGGUUGAGCCAUGGGUGUGGAACCUCCCAUAAGUUCUUGGACCGGAGCUUCAACUCGGCCUUGUGUACCCGGUCGAGAAAGUCCACAUACUGUAAAUCCGUUGUAAAUACCGAUGUCGGUAUGAAAUUCAAUUUUUUCAUCAAAAUUUCCACUUCCUGUAAGAAAUAAUUUAAAAAAAAAAAUCCACAUUUAAUAUUCUAAAUCCGGAAUAGGAAACGAAAGUUUACGUGGAAAACUAAAAAAAGAAAAGCUGUUUUGCUACUAAAGCCUACCAAAAACAAAGGAUAAGUUAAGAUUCCAGUAGAGUUGGUUUUAUUAAAGUUUAACUUAAGAGAAAAGAGGAAUCAUUAUUUGGUGAGUGGUCCAUGACCCCCAUCCACUACUUAAUUAGUAACCAUGAUUAAUUCGCUAGUGAUAAACUAAACAUCAGAAGAAGAAGAAGAAGAAAGAACAAAUAUAUAUUUUAAUGUGUGUAUUAUUAAGUUCAGGUGGAAAAGCUAGAUCUCUGUAGAUCCUCUCUGGCUUCUUCUUCAUGUCCUCUUCCAAAGUUAAAUUAUAAUAAAGUGUAUAACACAACAAAAAUACUAUGGAGACCACUUUUUAGAUCAUAUAAACUAAAUAAAUAUUCAUAAUGAUUUCCCCAAUAAUCGCAUAGCGUUAAAUCGUUCCAGAUACUCAUCAAAUAUAAAAAAGAAAAAUAUCUCUUUUGUUUUUCUAAAGUGAAUAAUGAAAGUGACCUGAUUGACGGUUUCGGAGUCGGAGUCGUGGUAGUUCUUGGUGAUCUCUAGGCAAUACAAAACGGACCCGUUUGAGCUAACGGACGAGAUCUUGACGGGGUUACGUGGAGAGAAGAAAGAGGAUCUCCAAUUGUUCACGAGACCUUCGUCCACUAUCACAAAACCUUCCACGUAAUCGAACUUUAGUUCACCAUGCAUCGAUAUUAAGUACUCUUGGUCCUCUGUAAACACCUCGAAGCUCGAAUACAAUACCCUUAUCCAUCUUACCUGUCAUCAUAAUAAAAUCAUUUUAGGGUUUUUAUUACCUUAAAGAUUAAAUAAACAUACUGGAAUCAACGGUAAAAAGGUUAAUAUACAUAUGGACCCGCCCGGGAUUUUAAAUUUCUAUUAUAUUAUAUAAGAAAAAAUUACCCUUUGGGGAGCAGGUUCGAGAGCGAUUCGUGCUCGUGUAAUAAUCCCAAGUUGACCUAACCCACCAAGAACUCCAUGGAAUAGCCUUGUGUUCUCGUCUUCUGAGCAUCUCAUCACCUCUCCUUUCCCUGUUUUUUUUCAUUACAACUUUUUGUUAUUAAAACUUCAAUCAAAACCAUUAUAUGAAAGAAGUUAAAUGUUUCUAAUACUAACCAGUUACAACGUCCAGCUCAAGGACGUUACUAAUCUGUGGACCAUGGUGAAAAGCUUGACCACUGAUUCCUGCAUUGGAUAGUGUACCUCCUACCGUAAGGUACAAGUAAUCAGUCCAGGAUUUUGGUGCUAACCCAUGCUCCAACGUUUUCAUCAACACAUCAACCCACAACUCUCCACCCCAAACGUCCACAUACAUUUCAUCCGGUCGGAUGAGUGGCUCCGGAGUCCCGAUUACGCCGUGGUUCAUCUCAACCACCACUCCGUUCCUCCCCACUGCGGCUUGUCCGUUUAUGGAAUGGCCGUGGCCUCGGGCUGAGACCGGAAACGCGGUGGCUGAACCAUAAGCUGUUCUGACGAGCCGUGCCACGUCUUCGGCCGAGGAUGGGUGAAGCACGGCUAAUGGCUCUUCCGGUGACUUCAACAUACCAAAGUCCGAAGAAACAGAGGCUAAGUCGGAAGGGUGGACGCUGAAAUAGCCGUCGACAACGAUGGCCCCGAUACGGAAGAGCUCACUCGGACCAACGGAUAUAAUCAGUUGACAUAUAGCGAACGACACAAGGAGAAAGCUUGACGUCAUUUCACGACUCAUCAUAGUAUAGUAGAGAAACAAGAAUCAAGAUCGAGGGAGGAAGAGAAUAUAUAGAAGAAAAGAAAAUAAUGUUUUUUUCAAGAUAAUGAAAGAUUUUAUAGGGAAGUGAGAAAACAUAUAUAUGGGGAGAUCCUUGGGGGUUCGUGAGAGCUAACGUAAGCCCAGAUUACGCUUUGAAGAUUUUCUGAGCAACAUGCACAGAUUCUCUCUCUCUUUUUUUCGGUUUGGGUGAAAACUUUAAUAUUCCCCUAUUAUAUAUAUAAAUAUAUAACUACGAUUGUUUAUAAUAUAUAUUAUUUUCGUACAAAAAAGAAAAAUUAACGAGUUUAUGCGGUUUAUAUGUGUGUGUCGAGAAUAUGAAGACAAGAGUUCUCUAUUUAUAGGACAAAGAGGUGUACCGGAGAAGAUCACGUCAUAUUCUUUAUUAACAAGUUCAUCUUUUAAACCAAAAAUCAAAAGAACCGUGUGAUAUCUACGUGUCACUGUUUAUAUUAUUAACUUUUUCGUUUCCUUUUUUGUUGUCACUGUUGGAAUCUCUAAACCAAAUCAACUUUUCAUUAGUAUGAUAUUGUCCGCUUUGGGCCCAUAAUUCAAGCUCUCACGCAUUUAUUGGGCUCCUUCCUAAAAGGCCUCAUACUAAUUGGAGUUGAAUUUAACUUAUAUAUUAGAAACUUCUCUUUCUAAUCUUUCGAUGUGGGAUAUUGGUUUGUAUUCCAAUAGUUACAAAAACAUUUUCAAGUUAAUUAACUAUAAUACUGUAUAAUAUGCUCACGUAAGUAUUUAAUUGUUUGAGAAAGACAUCGUAGACCGAAGACGUACGUAAACCAUUUGACUAAUUCAAAACUGGCAUAUAUGAGCUAGUGUCAAAAUGAGUUUUGGUCAUUUACCAAUUUGAUAUGGUUAUUAAAAAAUAAAACGUGUUGUAUGAGUUUUGAAACUCUAUAAUGAUUUGACUAUUGACUUAAAAGGAUUGUCUGAGAAAUGAAGAACAAAGCACUAGAGCAAAUCAAUCAGAUUGGUCUCCAGAAAACGUUUUACACGACAAGUUUCAUUUAAAUCUUGCGACGAUCAUUAACAAACAAAAAUGAAGGAGGAUGGGGGGGGAGGGAUAUGGUGGGAGAGGGCAUGGGAGGAGAUGGGAGAGACGGAACAGAAGAACGCCACGUGGGAUCAUUCACGUGGGAGAGGAUGAGGUCACACGUGUGUAGUUGAAAGGAGUAGGUUCCACAUUUUGGAUACGGUGAAUCGUAGUGGGGACCUGACCUCUCUCCUCUCCUGAGAGAUGAACUUAUUAGUUGUUCUCUCAUUCACGUGUUGGACUUUGCACUUCUUCGGUAAUGAAAUUAAUAAUUAUUACCCAAAUCUUUAUAAUUUGGAUUAUUUUUUAGGUUAUUAAAAUUAAAUAUUUAAACGAGAAGAUGAAAAAAAAAAAACAGUACUAUUUAGAAAGGGAAGAUAGAUAGAUUCUUCUUCUGCAGUACUUUGCAGUCGGUAGAUCCUCUCUUUGGCUUCCAUCGAUAAAUUUCUUUUUUUACAUUUUUUUUUGUUUUUGCAGUCUAGAAUCAGAAAUAUAUUGUUUAGUAGUACUUAUAAAAGAUAUGAUUCUGCGGAUGAUGAUUUAGUUGGUGAAGGUCAAAAAUGGUUUAACUAGACCUUGACUCCGUACGUUGUUUAUUUCUUACUUACUUAUAUAAAAAUUCGACUUCUUGAGCUUCUCUUCCUCGAGUUUUGUAGUAUAUUAUUAUUGUUUAUCAAGAGUUUGGACGUGAACUCGUGAAGUCAGUAUUAUACUUAUACGUCUUUGGAAGACUGAUAUUAGGAAUAGUUUAUAUAAUUAUAUGUUUUAUUUUGUGUUGUGAAUAGUGUGGGGGAAUCUAACGUCUAGCUAGAUUUGAUGAUAAUUUAGUUUGGUGGGUUGAUUUGGUACUAUAUAUAUAUAUAUCUUUUUUUUUUCUAUAAAAACAUAUGAACAGCUGCAAGUUGAGAUCUAUUUGAUGCCAAUCCAAACAUUAAUACCUUUGCACGAUAAUAGAGAUUGGUACAUUUUACCAAAUUUUCUCAUACUAUCUCAUUAUUGUCAACUUGCUCUCAUGUUUUCAUUUUUUUCUUUUGUUUCCUUCAGAUCGGAUUUGUGUCUUUAUUACCAGAUAUUAUAAUUGUCAAAAUCAGUUUCUUACUUCUAUA